AGUGCUCAUGCUAAGUCCACCUCUCCUCACCCUGGCCCACUCGUGGGCCCAAGUAUUUGGAGAUUUCUCAGGGGUCCCCAGAUUACAGACAUUUCUCCCCUGAAGCCCAUAAGCAGAUGCACAUUCUGGCCGCUGGAGUGUGCGGUCGCCAUUCCCCUUCUCUAGUCCCCAAGACCCUGACAACCUUAAAAACCAGAUUGUCCCUGAGGAUACGCAUGUGUCCAAUUUAAAGGGGAUUUUGGCGGCAGGGCGGGGAAAGCCACCUCAGCCUCUAUCUCUUCAAAAUCCCACCACUUUGAAACUCCAUUUUGCUCCAAGCCUUUGCAAGAUUCCAAACACUUGGAAUUAACCCGGAGGCCACCGCCAUCCCCAAGCAGCCACAGGGGCCUGGUUUCCCUGGGAGAGAAACUAUCCAGAGCAUGCCCUGGCCCCCGGUGGCCCUGAGGCCAGGAGCCCUAGGAGGGCACUCCAGGGAAGGAAUUCGUCCUGAUCUAGAAAUGGGCAGGUGCGGACCUCGCGGAUGUUUCUUUAAGAGCAGGGAAAGGAAACAGCACUUCUACCCCGCCAACGGGGCGGAUUAGGGCCAGGAUUAACAUUUUAAACUCGACCAGACUUUCUGACUCAAAGAUCUUCUCUGGUUAAUCGUAUUACUAUCCCUGGGAUUACUGCUUUACUCUCUGCAAAACAGAUUCUAAAAUCAAAUUGAUUAAAGUUCCCUCCUGUCUUCUCUUUACUCCUUUUGGGGCGUAGGGGGAGAGGCUGUAGCUUCUUAAGGAGACGACUUUUAAAAUCGAAUCUCACUUCGCAUUUCUCUCCUUGUCCCUCCUCUGCUUCCAAGCCAGGCGGGGGUAAGAAGAUUGGCUGGCGACACGAUUCCUUUUUUCCCGCCCACGUCAGUUCCUAGUUCCUGGUAAUUUAUCCCAUAUUAAAACUUCUUUAAGUAAGAAUGGACAAGCAUCAGCACCUGCUAUGCAAAUGUGGCCAAAUCCAGCCCGGGCCGCGAGGCGUGCGCGCCCGCCCGACCGCGAGCGGCCAUUCAGCGCUCCCAAGGCGCCUGCUCUACUCUUCAUAUGGAAACCCGGCCGGUCCAGACAGAUUGCGGCGGGGAGGGGCGGGGGCCAGAAUGCCCUCCCAGCCUCGGAAGGCGCCCGGAUGGGACUAUCUGCACCUCUCUCUCCAGUGGGUAGUCUGGGAAAACUGGAAGAAAAGAAAAUGCCAGAAAGUUAUGGUAAAACUUAAGAUGCGGCCGAAGUCGCUUUCUUUGCCCCUGCUGCGAGUGUUUGAAUAAGAAGAAUGCUCCUGGACUGUAACAAGCAAAAAGAAUGAAGAAGACAAAAGAUUUCCAGAAAAAGGUUUAGCUGGAAGACAAGGCAAGUGAAACUGAAAGGAGAAAAAAAGCAUUUACAAUGGAACAAUAAGUGUACUAAUCGCUUUGAUAUAUUAUACAAGCCCAAAGACCCAAAACAUUGUGUAAUUAUUUAUAAAUGACUUCUCCACUCCUGUGUAUAAUGCAGAGGAAAGAAUAAAACUGCAGGCUACUCUCUAAACUAUUUCUAAAUAGACCUGGUUCAAAAGAAGGCAGAAGUGUUUGAAAUAAAAUAAUUA
Molecule: long non-coding RNA, 1605 nt
Organism: Macaca mulatta (Rhesus monkey)
Lineage: Eukaryota; Metazoa; Chordata; Mammalia; Primates; Cercopithecidae
Source: Ensembl